AGAACGAACGCUGGCGGCGUGGAUAAGACAUGCAAGUCGAACGAGGUAGUUUGGUAGCAAUAUCAAACUGCCUAGUGGCAAACGGGUGCGUAACACGUAGGUUACAUUCCGGAAAGUGUGGGAUAGCCCAGGGAAACUUGGAUUAAUACCGCAUGUGAUCGCAAGAUCAAAGGCGAAAGCCGCUUUCUGAUUGGCCUGCGCCCUAUCAGCUAGUUGGUGAGGUAAUGGCUCACCAAGGCUACGACGGGUAGCUGGUCUGAGAGGACGACCAGCCACACUGGAACUGAGACACGGUCCAGACACCUACGGGUGGCAGCAGUCGAGAAUCUUUCACAAU
This 337-nucleotide ribosomal RNA is filed under the name uncultured bacterium. RNAcentral's name for it is "SSU rRNA". It matches the Rfam family "Bacterial small subunit ribosomal RNA", at positions 26 to 372 of the family's 1533-position model. The record is from RNAcentral.